GACGAACGCUGGCGGCGUGCUUAACACAUGCAAGUCGAACGGAAAGGCCCUGCUUUUGUGGGGUGCUCGAGUGGCGAACGGGUGAGUAACACGUGAGUAACCUGCCCUUGACUUUGGGAUAACUUCAGGAAACUGGGGCUAAUACCGGAUAGGAGCUCCUGCUGCAUGGUGGGGGUUGGAAAGUUUCGGCGGUUGGGGAUGGACUCGCGGCUUAUCAGCUUGUUGGUGGGGUAGUGGCUUACCAAGGCUUUGACGGGUAGCCGGCCUGAGAGGGUGACCGGCAACAUUGGGCCUGGGAUCCGGCCCAGACUCCUACGGGGGGAAGAGGGGGGGAAUAUUGAACAAUGGGCGGAAGCCUGCUGCAGCAACGCCGCGUGCGGGAUGACGGCCUUCGGGUGGUAAACCGCUUUCGCCUGUGACGAAGCGUGAGUGACGGUAAUGGGUAAAGAAGCACCGGCUAACUACGU
RNAcentral lists this ribosomal RNA (467 nucleotides) under uncultured bacterium. RNAcentral's name for it is "partial 16S ribosomal RNA". It matches the Rfam family "Bacterial small subunit ribosomal RNA", at positions 28 to 506 of the family's 1533-position model. The record is from RNAcentral.